GAUGAACGCUAGCGGCAGGCCUAACACAUGCAAGUCGAGGGGUAACUAGAGUGAUAGCAAUAUUACUUUGGCUAGACCGGUGCACGGGUGCGUAACACGUAUGCAACCUACCUUAUACUGGGGAAUAACUUCGAGAAAUCGGCGCUAGUACUCCAUAACACUGCGGAGAGGCAUCUCUUUGCAGUUAAAGCUCCGGCGGUAUAAGAUGGGCAUGCGUCCAAUUAGCUAGUUGGUGAGGUAACGGCUCACCAAGGCUACGAUUGGUAGGGGUUCUGAGAGGAUGAUCCCCCACACUGGUACUGAGACACGGACCAGACUCCUACGGGAGGCAGCAGUGAGGAAUAUUGCGCAAUGGACGAAAGUCUGACGCAGCCAUGCCGCGUGCAGGAUGACGGCCCUAUGGGUUGUAAACUGCUUUUGUACGGGAAUAAACCCUUCUACGUGUAGGAGGCUGAAGGUACCGUAAGAAUAAGCACCGGCUAACUCCGUGCCAGCAGCCGCGGUAA
This 506-nucleotide ribosomal RNA is filed under the name uncultured bacterium. RNAcentral's name for it is "partial 16S ribosomal RNA". It matches the Rfam family "Bacterial small subunit ribosomal RNA", at positions 28 to 523 of the family's 1533-position model. The record is from RNAcentral.